AUUGAACGCUGGCGGCAGGCUUAACACAUGCAAGUCGAGCGGGGUGAUGGUGCUUGCACUAUCACUUAGCGGCGGACGGGUGAGUAAUGCUUAGGAAUCUGCCUAUUAGUGGGGGACAACAUCUCGAAAGGGAUGCUACUACCGCAUACGUCCUACGGGAGAAAGCAGGGGAUCACUUGUGACCUUGCGCUAAUAGAUGAGCCUAAGUCGGAUUAGCUAGUUGGUGGGGUAAAGGCCUACCAAGGCGACGAUCUGUAGCGGGUCUGAGGGGAUGAUCCGCCACACUGGGACUGAGACACGGCCCAGACUCCUACGGGAGGCAGCAGUGGGGAAUAUUGGACAAUGGGGGGAACCCUGAUCCAGCCAUGCCGCGUGUGUGAAGAAGGCCUUAUGGUUGUAAAGCACUUUAAGCGAGGAGGAGGCUCUUUUGGUUAAUACCCAAGAUGAGUGGACGUUACUCGCAGAAUAAGCACCGGCUAACUCUGUGCCAGCCGCCGCGGUAA
Molecule: ribosomal RNA, 503 nt
Filed under: uncultured bacterium
Lineage: Bacteria
Description: partial 16S ribosomal RNA
Rfam family: Bacterial small subunit ribosomal RNA
Source: RNAcentral